RNAcentral lists this ribosomal RNA (277 nucleotides) under uncultured prokaryote. RNAcentral's name for it is "partial 16S ribosomal RNA". It matches the Rfam family "Bacterial small subunit ribosomal RNA", at positions 524 to 800 of the family's 1533-position model. The record is from RNAcentral.
UACGUAGGGGGCUAGCGUUAUCCGGAAUUACUGGGGCGUAAAGGGUGCGUAGGCGGUCUUUCAAGCCAGAAGUGAAAGACUACGGCUCAACCGUAGUAAGCUUUUGGAACUGUAAGACUUGAGUGCAGGAGAGGAGAGUGGAAUUCCUAGUGUAGCGGUGAAAUGCGUAGAUAUUAGGAGGAACACCAGUAGCGAAGGCGGCUCUCUGGACUGUAACUGACACUGAGGCACGAAAGCGUGGGGAGCAAACAGGAUUAGAUACCCGCGUAGUCCCUGA